This is a long non-coding RNA of Brachypodium distachyon (stiff brome), 2992 nucleotides long. RefSeq lists it as uncharacterized. The record is from RefSeq and is a predicted model, not a curated record. Lineage: Eukaryota; Viridiplantae; Streptophyta; Magnoliopsida; Poales; Poaceae. The transcript has 2 exons.
GGAGGCACGUGGCGUGCGUUCUGGGCUUCCGUCCAGCCGUCUCUUUCGUCUUGCCUCUUUCUUUCUCCGUUCCCUUCCUUCCUCUGCCGAUCCCUCACUACUCGCGGCUGCUGCGCCGCCGGGUGCUGCCCCUGGUCUCGCCGCCCGUCUUGCUGUGCGCUGGUGCUGCCGCUGCUCCGAUCCUUUCCUUCCAUUAGUUGGUGUGCAUCACAGGUUGAGUGUCGAUUUGGCCGGCGUUGGGGGCCCUUCGCAGCGCGUCUCUUCGUUUGGUUCUACGUGAGGCUUUCUUUGCUCAGUCGCUGGUGUGUUUCUUCUCCUUUUCUUUUUCCUUUUUUAGAUCGGUUUGUCUCGCCGCCGUCUGGGGCUGCCGCGGUUUGUUCGUGCUUGUUGCGUCCACCGAUUGGAUGCAUUGUACGCACAUCUGGAGUUGUGUUUGCUGCAAUGGGUUGCGGCUGUGGUGGCUGCUGGGCUGUGGGGGUGGAGGGGAUUGGAUCUCUUUGAACGACGCCUGCAGCUACGUUGAACAGGCCCAGCCAUGUCGCGGGCAUGGAAGUGAAGAGUUGAGCGGCAAAGGGGAGGGAUGUCAAUGGCCUCCGGCAAACUGAGGAGUUUACUAGGGCCAACUGAUCCCAGGCGUCUCGAGCCUCUUAGGGUGGAAGACGGUCAACACAUCAUGAUUGGGGUUCCUUCUCCGUCAGGGUACUUACUAGCUUUUCCUGGGCCCUUCACUCUGAGUAAAAAGAAAAAUUCAAUGCUUCCAAUACCAUGCUGGUUUUAGCGUGAUUUGACGAGGUUCUGACAAACCUGAUACUGCAAGGAAGCAUAUAAUCCUGCUAGCGAUGCUCCUUGAAAGAGGAGCACUGGCAUGUUAUUUUUCUUCUCCUGAGUUGUCCUUAGAUCCAUUUCCUAUGAUUUGAUCCUGCAGUGAAGCAACCGAAGUUUUUUAUUUACUGCAAUUUCUCAUUAGGUUGUUAGUGUUCGUGGAGGCUUUGAAAUUCCUGGCAAUAAAAGCGUCGGAAGAAUUGAGAUUUUAAGGCAAUUUUGUGCAGUGGUAAUUUGUUUUGUAGUCUUGGCAACGAUGACUAUAAAAUGCAUCCUCGAAGCUAUUGCAGAAGGGGUUUAGGGUACAUACACUGUAUAAACUGUUAAGAUUACUUACUCACCUUAUUGGUAGCAGCAAACCAAGGAACCAGCUUUUCUUCCAUGCUUGAUACUCCCACUCCAUCUCCACAAAGGGCUCCUCAAUUGAUGUUAUUCCUCUACACCAUCAGCUCACAUUAGCAACAACAGUACUCCACCUUGUGUUGUUAUCUCUGCUCUCUCCUAUAAAUCCUGUCUUUGCCAAAUUCCAAGUUCCCAAGUGAAAUAGAUUUCAAAACCUUAGUAUACUUCACCUUCCAUGUUUUAUUGAAGUGCAGAUGAUAUUUCGUUACAGGUGAUAGUGUUCUCUUCUGAUUCUCUCAUGUGUCUCUUUUGUGUGAAGGGGGUCUCGUUCCUCUCAAGAUGAGAUCACGAGAUUAAGUAUCAACAAUUCUUUUCUCAUGGUACUGACGUAAGUUUCAUUCACUCAAUUAUGACCCAUAUAAAAACUAACCUCCUGCUAAGCAACCCCUCAUACACUAGAUGGAUUCAUUUUCUACUUAAACGAAUUACCAUAUUACUAUUUUAAAGGUUACUUCUGUGAUGACACUGUUUUUUUGGAAACAUUGACCGCCGAAGAUUAAUUUGUGUAGCAUUUGAGAUGUUGCCAAUUAAAAGUAAUGGUUGCGUGUUGAAUGCGUGGGCAGCUUUUUAUUUACUCAAUAUAAUUCUUUUAUGCUUACAUAGUCAUUCAUCUUGUGUUUAUUCUAGAUUUUGAAUUUUUAAGUAAUUAGAAUUUUCUGAUUUCCUUGCAUCUCUUAGGGAACAUGCAGAGGGAAACUAGGACAGGUAAAAUAUAUUAUAAGAAAAUACUUACAUUUCUAAUGUCUUGGAUAAGAUUGUUUAUAUAAUCUUCUGUGCUCUUUUCCUUUUUAUCUGAUCAUUCCAUGAACAGGAACAAUCAAUUAUUACUUUUAUGAUGGCAUGAUGAUCCAAAAUAGUGUGUUUUUUACUCUUCUUACGACUUAUACUCCAUAUCGCAUAAGUUUUCCUAUUUUGUUUAGAUAUUGUUGUUUCAGGUUCAGGAGUAGUGUCUCCCUUCAGUGGUAAUGGAUUAAGGCCCGUUUUCAGAGUACAUUACUGUCAUCGACCCUGGACCCAAGAGGCGCGACGGCGCCAUUAAAGGCAGCCGCACCUCAAGGGCAGGAAGGAGGUAUAACUAGAUUGAUUUAUUCUUACUUGUCUCAUGACGAUCACAGGGAGCCCUUUAUAUAGGGAAGACUCAACUUGACAUCCAAGAAACUAAUCUCUACUUUCCUAACAAACCAUAUCUUAAUAUUCCCAUCUUAUCUCGUGCCUAACUAAUAUAUGAGAUGCUAAUUGGAUAUUGUCCCUUAUUUGGAUACCUAGGGCUGUGCCCCUAUAGGGAUGUACGCCCAUGACAAUUACACGCUUCUGGUCCUAUGCAGUACAAGAAAGGAAUCAUAAGUACUGUAUUAUCUAAUGAACCAUAUGGCAGCAUAAUGUAUGUUUAAGUAUGAACUGGUCAUAGUUGUUAGGUGGUGGAGUGGGUGCUUGGAGCAACAAAGAUGCACAUUGAGAUUAGUUCCGACGGUUUUCCUUUGCUUUCAUUCCGCAAAUGGUUGUGAUCCUGCUUAUGAAUUCUCUGCUCUUGGUUUCAGUUUUAGGUCCUACUUCAUCUGAUCUUCAAGUUGGUUUCGCUUUUGCAUAUCCUCUCUUCUUUGUUCUCUACUCCGGUAGAAUGCCACUAUAAGUCUACUUGAGAAUCUCGAAACUGUCAGUUUGUACUCUGUCCCGUGUUCGAUAACAGUUACUGUAUUUCUGAUUAGGGUGUGAGCCACCUCUCUUAAUAAGAAGGCAUACCUUAGGUGCCAAUCUAAAAUCGCUCGAA